This 253-nucleotide ribosomal RNA is filed under the name uncultured bacterium. RNAcentral's name for it is "partial 16S ribosomal RNA". It matches the Rfam family "Bacterial small subunit ribosomal RNA", at positions 524 to 776 of the family's 1533-position model. The record is from RNAcentral.
UACGGGGGGGGCAAGCGUUGUUCGGAAUUACUGGGCGUAAAGGGCUCGUAGGCGGCCAACUAAGUCAGACGUGAAAUCCCCAGGCUCAACCUGGGAACUGCGUCUGAUACUGGAUGGCUUGAAUCCGGGAGAGGGAUGCAGAAUUCCAGGUGUAGCGGUGAAAUGCGUAGAUAUCUGGAGGAACACCUGCGGCGAAGGCGACUUCCUGGCCUGUUCUUGACGCUGAGGCGCGAAAGCUGGGGGAGCAAACGGG